Molecule: long non-coding RNA, 798 nt
Filed under: Bos indicus x Bos taurus (hybrid cattle)
Lineage: Eukaryota; Metazoa; Chordata; Mammalia; Artiodactyla; Bovidae
Description: lncRNA (ENSBIXG00005008667.1)
Source: RNAcentral
CCCUUCCCCACUGGUCUGUCUUCUCAUUGGUCCUGCCACAGGUGCACAGAGCUCCCCGGAGCGGGGCUGGGGGGCCCUGAGAGCUCCGGAGGGCAGCCUUGGGGCAUCAGCCUCCUCACUCAGUGCGCAGCGAGCAGAGCCCUGCCUUCAGCCCCCUGCCUGUGAGCCCUGGGGCCUCAUGCUGAGUUCAGAGGUCAUUCCAUCUUCAGGAAUCCUGUCCAUUGCUUCGUGAAACACUGCAAGAGUUGCGUCGCAGAGUCUGUGAGCCCUCUGGCUCCUACAGUCCCCCAGGCCGGAACCAGCCCUUUGACUCCUCCACUUCAAGGGAUUGGUAUGACUGGAUACUUGAGCUAUUUAAAGAGCUCCUGCGGCGACUGCAGCAGAAGUUUCAGAAAGCCCUGGAGUGGCUUCAUCAGAUAGCGGCUGCCUGCCUACAGGGCUUGCGCAUAGCGGCUGAGGCCGUCUGGAGAGUGUUGAAUGAUUUUUGCUCCUCUCUGGAGCAGCUCUUCAGGAGCCUCAUCCAGGUCUAGAAGCCCCAAGGGGUCCCCAGGGAGCUUGGCCUCAUCUAGACGCCUCAAUUUCCCCUUCUCACAGGGCAUCUUCUGAUGCACCCUUUACCCUCCUGCUCACCCUUGACCCAUCCUCAUAGCCUGCCUCACCCCCUCCCCUUCAGGGAGGGCACCACCCAGCCCAUCUAACUCUCCCUGCCUGAAUUUUCCUGCACCAGGUCUGGCCUGCCUGUCACUGUAGUGCUGAUGUGCUAAUAAAAGUCAGUUAACCCAAAUGGAGUGUCUGUGU